GGGAGCUUGGAGACAGGUGCUGCACGGCUGUCGUCAGCUCGUGUCGUGAGAUGUUGGGUUAAGUCCCGCAACGAGCGCAACCCUCGUCACUAGUUACUAACGGUUCGGCCGAGGACUCUAGUGAGACUGCCUUCGUAAGGAGGAGGAAGGUGAGGACGACGUCAAGUCAUCAUGGCCCUUACGGCUAGGGCAACACACGUGCUACAAUGGCCAGGACAAUGAGACGCGAUACCGCGAGGUGGAGCAAAUCUAUAAACCUGGUCUCAGUUCGGAUUGUAGUCUGCAACUCGACUACAUGAAGCUGGAAUCACUA
Molecule: ribosomal RNA, 313 nt
Filed under: uncultured bacterium
Lineage: Bacteria
Description: bacterial SSU rRNA
Rfam family: Bacterial small subunit ribosomal RNA
Source: RNAcentral